RNAcentral lists this ribosomal RNA (382 nucleotides) under uncultured bacterium. RNAcentral's name for it is "bacterial SSU rRNA". It matches the Rfam family "Bacterial small subunit ribosomal RNA", at positions 30 to 410 of the family's 1533-position model. The record is from RNAcentral.
AUUGAACGCUGGCGGCAGGCCUAACACAUGCAAGUCGAGCGGUAGAGAGGUGCUUGCAUCUCUUGAGAGCGGCGGACGGGUGAGUAAUGCCUAGGAAUCUGCCUGGUGGUGGGGGAUAACGUUCGGAAACGGACGCUAAUACCGCAUACGUCCUACGGGAGAAAGCGGGGGAUCUUCGGACCUCGCGCCAUUAGAUGAGCCUAGGUCGGAUUAGCUAGUUGGUGAGGUAAUGGCUCACCAAGGCGACGAUCCGUAACUGGUCUGAGAGGAUGAUCAGUCACACUGGAACUGAGACACGGUCCAGACUCCUACGGGAGGCAGCAGUGGGGGAAUAUUGGACAAUGGGCGAAAGACCUGAUCCAGCCAUGCCGCGUGUGUGAAG